This 234-nucleotide unclassified non-coding RNA is filed under the name plant metagenome. RNAcentral describes it as "partial contains small subunit ribosomal RNA, internal transcribed spacer 1, and 5.8S ribosomal RNA". The stretch from base 186 to 234 matches the Rfam family "5.8S ribosomal RNA", at positions 1 to 49 of the family's 154-position model. The record is from RNAcentral.
UCUCCGUUGGUGAACCAGCGGAGGGAUCAUUACCGAGUUUACAACUCCCAAACCCCUGUGAACAUACCUGUUUUGUUGCUUCGGCGGUGCCCUCGCUCUCGCGGCGAGGCCCGCCAGAGGACCCAAACAAACUCUUUGACUUUGAUCUAGGAUUAUACUUCUGAGUGAUACAAAAAUAAAAUCAAAACUUUCAACAACGGAUCUCUUGGUUCUGGCAUCGAUGAAGAACACAGC